UACGAAGGGGGCUAGCGUUGUUCGGAAUUACUGGGCGUAAAGGGCGCGUAGGCGGUACUUCAAGUCAGGCGUGAAAGCCCCGGGCUCAACCUGGGAAUGGCAUUGGAAACUGGCGGGCUGGAGUGUGGCAGAGGGGGGUGGAAUUCCGCGUGUAGCAGUGAAAUGCGUAGAGAUGCGGAGGAACACCGAUGGCGAAGGCAGCCCCCUGGGCUGACACUGACGCUCAGGCACGAAAGCGUGGGGAGCAAACAGG
Molecule: ribosomal RNA, 253 nt
Filed under: uncultured bacterium
Lineage: Bacteria
Description: partial 16S ribosomal RNA
Rfam family: Bacterial small subunit ribosomal RNA
Source: RNAcentral